GGGGAAUAUUGGACAAUGGGCGCAAGCCUGAUCCAGCCAUACCGCGUGGGUGAAGAAGGCCUUCGGGUUGUAAAGCCCUUUUGUUGGGAAAGAAAUCCAGCUGGCUAAUACCCGGUUGGGAUGACGGUACCCAAAGAAUAAGCACCGGCUAACUUCGUGCCAGCAGCCGCGGUAAUACGAAGGGUGCAAGCGUUACUCGGAAUUACUGGGCGUAAAGCGUGCGUAGGUGGUCGUUUAAGUCCGUUGUGAAAGCCCUGGGCUCAACCUGGGAACUGCAGUGGAUACUGGACGACUAGAGUGUGGUAGAGGGUAGCGGAAUUCCUGGUGUAGCAGUGAAAUGCGUAGAGAUCAGGAGGAACAUCCAUGGCGUAGGCAGGUUACUGGACCAUUUCUGACGCUAAGGCACGAAAGCGUGGGGAGCGAACC
RNAcentral lists this ribosomal RNA (426 nucleotides) under uncultured Stenotrophomonas sp. RNAcentral describes it as "bacterial SSU rRNA". It matches the Rfam family "Bacterial small subunit ribosomal RNA", at positions 356 to 774 of the family's 1533-position model. Lineage: Bacteria; Pseudomonadati; Pseudomonadota; Gammaproteobacteria; Lysobacterales; Lysobacteraceae. The record is from RNAcentral.